GAAAGCAGGCGAGGUGAUCGCGAUCGGAGCGGCGGCGGUCUUCGGGCCGUCCGCCGGGUCCGGUUGAGGAAAGUCCGGGCUCCCCAAUGGCCAGGCCUGCCGGGUAACGCCCGGUGCGGGCGACCGUGAGGACAGUGCCACAGAAACACACCGCCGAUGGCCCCGUGGGAGGUUCGCCUCGCCCGGUGCACAGGCAAGGGUGCAAGGGUGCGGUAAGAGCGCACCAGCGGCAUCGAGAGGUGCCGGCUCGGUAAACCCCGGCCGGGAGCAAGGCCCAGGGACAACGGUUGGCCAUCUUCCCCGUCCCGUUUCAAGCGAGCCGCUCGAGGCCGCCGGUAACGGCGGUCCCAGACAGAUGAUCACCCCCCGCUUCCGCCCCGCGCCCAACGGCCCGGCCGGCGGCAGCGGGGAACAGAACCCGGCUUACGUCCUGCUUUCCCCC
Molecule: RNase P RNA, 442 nt
Filed under: Cyanobium sp. FGCU52
Lineage: Bacteria; Bacillati; Cyanobacteriota; Cyanophyceae; Synechococcales; Prochlorococcaceae
Description: RNase P RNA component class A
Rfam family: Bacterial RNase P class A
About the family: Ribonuclease P (RNase P) is a ubiquitous endoribonuclease, found in archaea, bacteria and eukarya as well as chloroplasts and mitochondria. Its best characterised activity is the generation of mature 5'-ends of tRNAs by cleaving the 5'-leader elements of precursor-tRNAs.
Source: RNAcentral